RNAcentral lists this ribosomal RNA (462 nucleotides) under uncultured bacterium. Its description in RNAcentral is "bacterial SSU rRNA". It matches the Rfam family "Bacterial small subunit ribosomal RNA", at positions 1026 to 1488 of the family's 1533-position model. The record is from RNAcentral.
ACACUGAGACAGNUGCUGCAUGGCUGUCGUCAGCUCGUGUUGUGAGAUGUUGGGUUAAGUCCCGCAACGAGCGCAACCCUUAUCCUUAGUUGCCAGCGAUUCGGUCGGGAACUCUGGGGAGACUGCCGGUGAUAAACCGGAGGGAGGUGGGGACGACGUCAAGUCAUCAUGGCCCUUACGGGAUGGGCUACACACGUGCUACAAUGGCGCGUACAAAGGGCAGCGAACCUGCGAGGGUAANCGAAUCUCAUAAAGCGCGUCGUAGUCCGGAUUGGAGUCUGCAACUCGACUCCAUGAAGUCGGAAUCGCUAGUAAUCGUGGAUCAGAAUGCCACGGUGAAUACGUUCCCGGGCCUUGUACACACCGCCCGUCACACCAUGGGAGUGGGCUGCACCAGAAGUGGUUAGUUUAACCUUCGGGAGAACGAUCACCACGGUGUGGUUCAUGACUGGGGUGAAGUCG